GAUGAACGCUGACAGAAUGCUUAACACAUGCAAGUCUUUGGCGAAUCUGUGUUUGCACAGGCUAGCCAAGGCGGACGGGUGAGUAACGCGUAAAGAACUUGCCCUGCAGACAGGGAUAACAGACGGAAACGACUGAUAACACCUGAUACAGUUGCCGGCACGCAUGUGCCUGGCAAUGAAAAGAGAUGCUGCAGGAGAGCUUUGCGUCCUAUUAGCUUGUUGGUGAGGUGACGGCUCACCAAGGCGAUGAUAGGUAGCCGGCCUGAGAGGGUGAACGGCCACAAGGGGACUGAGAUACGGCCCUUACUCCUACGGGAGGCAGCAGUGGGGAAUAUUGGACAAUGGGGGCAACCCUGAUCCAGCAAUUCUGUGUGCACGAAGAAGGUUUUCGGAUUGUAAAGUGCUUUCAGCAGGGAAGAAGAAAGUGACGGUACCUGCAGAAGAAGCGACGGCUAAAUACGUG
Molecule: ribosomal RNA, 463 nt
Filed under: uncultured bacterium
Lineage: Bacteria
Description: partial 16S ribosomal RNA
Rfam family: Bacterial small subunit ribosomal RNA
Source: RNAcentral